AUAGCAAUAUGAACAAAGAGAAUUUAGGACAAUAUAGAGGUCCCACAAAACGCUCACAUCAAAUUGUAUUGCGUUGGAACCCAUAAUUUUUAGGCUUUAAUUUAUUCUAUUUAUGUAGCUAAUUUUUCAUGUAACUUUUGCUUCCUUUAUCUUCAGCUUCCUAUACUAAGACUAGUUAGUGUGUUUUGACCAACACUUUCCUUUUGCUUCUCCAAGUGACAAGGUUUCCCCCGAUAAGUGUGCAAUAACAAUUGGUCGACCUCCUAUUGUCAAGGGAUCCAACCCAAUAUCCAACCCAAUUUGCAUCUGUGAAUGCAUGUAUACACCAUGUUUAGAGAAUAAGAAACCUUUUCCAGGAGGAGACUUCAAGUAUCGCAAAAUACGAAAAACAGCUUGCAUGAACAUCAUGUAGAAUUUUUGCGAAAAACAGCUUGUAUUAGGAUCAUGCAGAAACUGACUGACUAAACUAAAUGCAUAUGCUAUGUCUGGUCUAGUAUGCGAAAGAUAAAUCAGUAUGUCUACCAACCUCUAAUACCUGCCAAUAUCCACUGAUUCACCAAUACAAGCAAGCAGGGAUUGCUCUCAACAGGAGUUUCUGCUGGUUUGCAGCCUAACAUACUAAUUCUUUCCAAAAAAUUCAAAAUGUAUUUUCUCCUAGAAAUAAAGAUUCCCUUCUUUGAUUUGACAAUCUUGAUUCCCAGGAAAUAUUGAAAUUUUCCUAAACUUUUAAUUUCAAACUCCUGAACCAAAAGCUUUUUCAGCCGAGUCAUUUCUCAGUGUCAUCCCCUGUCAUUACUAUGUCAUCAACAUAAAUUAUGAGAAGUGUAAUUUUACCCUUGUGAUGUCUGAUAAAUAUAGUAUAAUUAGCAUUGCUUUAUUGAUAGUAAAAAUAAUCAUAACUCUGCUGAAUCAAUCAAACCAAACUCUGAGCGAUUGUUUCAACCCAUACAAACCCUCCUUUAGCCUACACACAUUUCCUUGUAUUUUUUCAUCAACAAAUCCCGGAGGAAUUUCCAUAUACACUUCCUCCUCCAAGUCUCCAUGAAAGAAUGCAUGUUUCACAUCAAAUUGUUAUACGUCCUACUCAAGAUUGGCAACGCAAGAUAGCAAUACUCUAAUAGAGUUCAUUUGGCAAUAGGGGCAAAUGUCUUCUGGUAAUCCACUCCAUAAAUUUGAGUGUAUCCCUUGACAACUAGCCUGGCCUUGAAUCUUUCAAUUGAUCCAAUAGGUUUUUGAAAGGUUCAUGGUGAAAAGAAGAUAUCAGGUUACUUUCAACAGGUGUCUAUUUUUUCUUUCAGCAAUACCAUUUUGGGCACUAGUUUGAUGCAGCAUCCCAUUAGACUCCAGAUAGGCAGAAAAACUUCCAUUCAUAUACUUUGUGCCAUUAUUAGUUCUCAAGACUUCUAUCUUAGUAUCAAAUAGAGUACAAACCAUCUUGUGAAAAAAUUGAAAGGAAGAAAACACAUCACUCUUUGCCUUUAUCAAAUAAACCAAAGUCAUACAAGUGCAGCAAUCAAUAGAAGUAACAAAUCAACAAUUUCUAGAUAGUUAUACAGUUUGAGUAGGUCCCCAAAUGUCAGAAUGGAUGGUCACAAAAAAGAUCGUACUCCUAUUGUUACUGGAGGGAUAAGAGAUCCUUAUAUGCUUAGCAUACUCACAAGCAUCACAAACUAAAGAACCACAUUGAGCCUUGGAAAAUAAAUCAGGAUAAAGUUUG
Molecule: long non-coding RNA, 1717 nt
Filed under: Manihot esculenta (cassava)
Lineage: Eukaryota; Viridiplantae; Streptophyta; Magnoliopsida; Malpighiales; Euphorbiaceae
Description: long non-coding RNA (MESC_LNC004543)
Source: RNAcentral